UAUUAAACCUAGGAAUUGAUACCCUAUUAUUAAAAAUUAAUUUUAAAUACUAAAAUAGUAGAUAAUAAUUUAUUGAAACUUAAAUAAGUUGGCGGUAUUUUAGUUCAUUUAGAGGAAUCUGUCUAAUAAUUGAUAAUCCACGAAUAAAUUUACUUAAUUUAUAAUUUUGUAUAUCGUUGUUAAAAAAAUAUUUAUUAAUAAAAAUAAUAUUUUAAUAUUAUAAAAAAAAUUAGUUCAGAUCAAGAUGCAGAUAAUAAUUAAGAAUAAGAUGGAUUACAAUAAUUAAUAAAAUUAAAUGAAUAAUAUUUUGAAAGUAAUAUUAUAGGUGGAUUUGGAUUUUACGGUCGGUCGUGGUCUCGCUUUCGGAACCGG
This 372-nucleotide ribosomal RNA is filed under the name Graphium nomius. RNAcentral's name for it is "partial 12S ribosomal RNA". The record is from RNAcentral. Lineage: Eukaryota; Metazoa; Arthropoda; Insecta; Lepidoptera; Papilionidae.